GCGUGGGGAAGGUGCUAUAGGUGCGGCUCAAAUUGUUUUCCUGGAAGUCAGAGAAGGGAAGUGUCAGUGGCUGCAACGUUUGGAGAAACACCAACAAAAUGUCCUUCGAUCUGUCUUCAGCUGUGGGAGGAAAAGAGGAUGAAGUGAAGAAGGAGGAAGCUCAGAAGGACGAGUUUGGCCUCCCAUGGAGCAAAAAAAAGGAUAAGGACAAGAAGGUAGGAGGGAAGGGGAUUGAUUGUACACCAGUCACCUCCAGAUGCACAAGUGUUUUUAAUUGGAAGAUCUUUUUAGGCUUGCAUGAGUUUCACAUGGGAGAAAAAACAUUUUAAUAGAUGGAGGGUUUUUGAUCAGUUUGGUUCUGAAUUUUUAUCGGGGUGAAUGAGGUGCAACUUUUUCUUUUCUCAGGGAGAUAAGUCUGACCACAAAGACAAGUCUGACCACAAAGACAAGUCUGACCACAAAGACAAGUCUGACCACAAAGACAAGUCUAAGGAUGGCAGUGGUGAAAAGAAGAAAAAGAAGGAGAAGAAGGGAAAGAAGGAAAAGAAAGAUGGAGGCAGCUCAUCUUCAUCUUCUUCCAGCAGUGAUGAGGACUGAUCAUCUCCCCCUGUGGACCUGCUCACUGUGUUCCCCACUCCAGCCCUGAUUCAUUUAGGUGUGUCUGUGUGGUUUAUAAGUGCCAGAUGAUAAAUAUGUGACAACAAAACUGAUUUCUAAAAUUAAAAGUUGUGAUUAAAUAAAUAAAGGAUUUUCCUCUUU
Molecule: long non-coding RNA, 759 nt
Organism: Cyprinodon variegatus (sheepshead minnow)
Lineage: Eukaryota; Metazoa; Chordata; Actinopteri; Cyprinodontiformes; Cyprinodontidae
Exons: 3
Source: RefSeq, a predicted model, not a curated record